GGCCAGGCUGCGUGGGGCGGCGUGCUGCUGUGCCGCGGGGUGCAGUGUGCUCUGCGUUGCAUGCGGCUGUGCCGUGCCAUGCUGCGCGGUGCAGUGCAGUGCUGUGCCGUGCCAUGCUGCGCGGUGCAGUGCCGUGCUGUGUUGUGCAGUGCUGUGCCAUGCUAUGCUGUGCCAUGCCAUGCUGCGCAGUGUGGUGCAUUGCUGUGUUGUGCAGUGCCGUGCCAUGCAGUGCUGUGCCAUGCCAUGCUGCCCCCGGUGUGGUGCAUUGCUCUGUUGUGCAGUGCUGUGCCGUGCCAUGCAGUGAUGUGCCAUGCCAUGCUGCACGGUGCAGUGUAUUGCCGUGUUGUGCAUUGCGGUGCCAUGCCAUGCUGUGCAGUGCGGUGUAUUGCUGUGUUGUGCAGUGCCGUGCCAUGCUAUGCUGUGCCGUGCCAUGCUGCCCGGUGCAGUGUACUGCUGUGUUGUGCUGUGCCAUGCAGUGUUGUGCCAUGCCAUGCUGUCCGGUGCGGUGUACUGCUGUGUUGUGCAGUGCAGUGUGGUGCUGUGCCGUGCCAUGCUAUGCUGUGUGGUGCACUGUACUGCUGUGUCGUGCAGCACAAUGUGGUGCCAUGCAGUGCUGUGCCAUGCCAUGCUGCCCAAUGCAGUGUACUUCUGUGUUGUGCAGCGCAGUGUGGUGCUGCGCAGUGCUGCGCAGUGCUGUGCCGUGCCAUGCUGCCCAAUGCAGUGUAUUGCUGUGUUGUGCAGCACAGUGCAGGGCCAUGCAGUGCUGUGCCAUGUCAUGCUGCCCAAUGCAGUGUACUUCUGUGCUGUGCAGUGCAAUGGGGUGCCAUGCAGUGCCGCGCCAUGCCAUGCUGUGCAGUGUAUUGCUGUGCAGUGCAGUGCAGUGCGGGGCCAUGUGUGGUGCUGUGCAGCGCCCUGCGGUGCCGUGCCACGCUGUGCUGCGGGGCGCACUGCUGUGUUGCGCGGCCCCAUGCCAUGCUGUGCCAUGCUGUGCAGCGCGGGGCGGUGCUGCGCCGAGCCGUGCUGCAUGGUGCACCACGGUGUUGUGCAGCGCUGCGCCGUGCUGUGCCGUGCCCUCCUGCCGGUGCCACGCACAGGGUGCGGGGUGCGGGGCCAACCUGCGGGCACGGGACGGGGUGCGGUGCAGGAUGCAGACGGGGGCACAGGGCAGUGCGGACGGUGCAGCCUGGUGCAGGGUGCAGUGUGGUGCUGGCGGGAAGCGCUCCCGCUCUGCCCAGUGUGCAGACGUCACCGGGGGCAGGGUGCAGGGUGCAGAGCAUGCUGCAGGGCACGGGGCAGGGUGCAGGGUGCAGAGCAUGCUGCAGGGCACGGGGCAGGGUGCAGGGUGCAGAGCAUGCUGCAGGGCACGGGGCAGGGUGCAGGGUGCAGAGCAU
RNAcentral lists this long non-coding RNA (1391 nucleotides) under Struthio camelus australis. RNAcentral's name for it is "lncRNA (ENSSCUG00000003830.1)". The record is from RNAcentral. Lineage: Eukaryota; Metazoa; Chordata; Aves; Struthioniformes; Struthionidae.